CAUGGGUUAGGAUGUCGAAGACGCUAGGUCCAAUCAAGGUCACAGUUACAGAUACUGUGGGUUAGAACUUUGAAGUUCUAAUCAAGGUCACAAUUACAGAUACCAUGGGUUAGGAUGGCGAAGACGCUAUGUCCAAUCAAGGUCGCAGUUACAGAUACUGUGGGAAUCAAAGAGUUAAUGCAUGCGCCAUUCUGAGAAUGACACCUGGCCUACAGUAAGUUCUCAUUCUUAUGUGCUUCUGGGGAAAGGAGAGCACCUCCGCUGUCUGCAGGAAAGUCAUUCUGAGAACUAAGCAAUGGCUUUUCCCGGGAUUUCAUCAUGAUUUUAUUUGGGGAAAGGAGAUCUCAUGGGUGUCUGCAAGAAGAAGGGUAAAAAAAUAGCUUCGAGAAUUGCUUGGUGGGGGGACAGGAGCCUCUAUUUUUAGGCCUCUGAAAAAUCAGCCAAGCCCUGGAUUUGGGACACAGCUGCAGAUGCUCAGACUAUGGAUGAAAGGGGAGAAAUGGGAGCAGACACCAGAAAUGUGGUCUGCCUUGAGCCAAAUGCUUUGAGACGGAGAAAGGUUUGCUUGUCUGACUUUUCAAUAUGGGCCACCAUGGCUGCACGCUCCCGUGGGACCUCCUGUCUCCUUGGUGGCACCCACUGCAUUUGUAAUUUCUCAGUUGCUGCCAUGAUGUAGAAGCUUGGCUUAAAUCUUGUCCCCACUGUUUACUAACUGGGUGGCCUUGGCUAAGUCACGUAACCUUCCUGUUCUUCAGAUCCCAGGGCCUGUACCCCAGGGACCCUGAUUCAGGAACAUGCAUUUUUACCAAGCACCCUAAGUAGAGGUUUCUAGAAUGGUCCGUCCCCAUGGGCCCUUGUUAACUUUGCUAAUAAUUAGAAAACCACCCUAUAACCUUCCUGUUCUUCAGAUUCCAGGGCUUGUACCCCAGAGACCCUGACUCAGGAACAUGUAUUUUUUUACCAAGCACCCUAAGUGGAGGUUCUGGAACGGUCUGUUCCCAUGGGCCCUUGUUAACUUUACUAAGAAUUAGAAAACUGUCCUAGGAGUUGGAAGACUUCUUUUCUACUCUUCUUUCUUUUUUAAAUAAAUGGUGUGAUUCCAGUCAUGCCAAUUAACUGC
Pan troglodytes (chimpanzee) is the source of this 1120-nucleotide long non-coding RNA. RefSeq lists it as uncharacterized. The record is from RefSeq and is a predicted model, not a curated record. The transcript has 3 exons. Lineage: Eukaryota; Metazoa; Chordata; Mammalia; Primates; Hominidae.